RNAcentral lists this ribosomal RNA (650 nucleotides) under Campylobacter jejuni. Its description in RNAcentral is "bacterial LSU rRNA". It matches the Rfam family "Bacterial large subunit ribosomal RNA", at positions 1923 to 2571 of the family's 2925-position model. The record is from RNAcentral. Lineage: Bacteria; Pseudomonadati; Campylobacterota; Epsilonproteobacteria; Campylobacterales; Campylobacteraceae.
GUAAACGGCGGCCGUAACUAUAACGGUCCUAAGGGAGCGAAAUUCCUUGUCGGUUAAAUACCGGCCUGCAUGAAUGGCGUAACGAGAUGGGAACUGUCUCAAAGAGGGAUCCAGUGAAAUGGUAGUGGAGGUGAAAAUUCCUCCUCCCCGCGGCAAGACGGAAAGGCCGCGUGGACGUUUACUACAGCUUGACACUGCGACUUGGAUUUGGAUGUGCAGGAUAAGUGGGAGGCUUUGGUGUAUAUGACGCCAGUUGUAUAUGGGCCAUUGUUUAGAUACCACUCUUUCUUAUUUGGGUGGCUAACCAGCUUGAGUGAUCCUCAAGUGGGAUAAUGUCUGGUGGGUAGUUUGUCUGGGGCGGUCGCCUCGCAAAUAAAAACGGAGGCUUACAAAGGUUGGCUCAGAUCGUUUGGAAAUCGUUCGUAGGGUAUAAAGGUAUAAGCCAGCUUAACUGCAAGACAUAAAAGUCAAGCAAAGACGAAAGUCGGUCUUUGGGAUCCGGUGGUUCUGUGUGGAAGGGCCAUCGCUCAAAGGAUAAAAGGUACCCCGGGGAUAACAGGCUGAUCUCCCCCAAGAGCUCACAUCGACGGGGAGGUUUGGCACCUCGAUGUCGGCUCAUCGCAUCCUGGGGCUGGAGCAGGUCCCAAGGG